GAAAUCUGAAGAAUGCUUAGGCCCUACUCAGCAAAACCAUCAGUUUGGGUUUGGAGAAGAAAUGUCAAAGACGUCUUGUGAGAACUUGAAGACAUGAGCAGACGAGAGUGCCUUGCAAGUCCCACUGAUGUGCUUUGUGCGUCUGACCAGAAACCACUGCAGUGAUGCUUGACAUGAUUAUUCCUCAUCCAUUGCCUGGUAAUACAGUGGAGGAACUUUGUAAGACUGUCUGCCAGCCUGCCACCCUGCCACCCUGCCCAGCCCUCACCCACCAAAUACAUCACAAGAUGAAGGAGUAGACGAGACUGCCUUGCGAAUCCCACUGAUGUGCUUUGUGCAUCUGACCAGAAACCACUGCAGUGAGGCUUGACAUGGUUAUCCCUCAUUCAUUGCCUGGUAAUACAGUGGAGAAACGUUGUAAGACUGUCUGCCAGCCUGCCACUCUGCCCAGCCCUCACCCAAAACAAUCACAAGAUCAAGAAUGAGCUCCUGCUGUUGACGGACCUACACCAGGCUGUGCAGUGACUGCUGACCAAUAAGGGUUGAAAGGACGGGUAGAGGAGUGGAGGUGGACAUGGAGCCCUUUGUGUUCGA
This is a long non-coding RNA of Engraulis encrasicolus (European anchovy), 594 nucleotides long. RefSeq lists it as uncharacterized. The record is from RefSeq and is a predicted model, not a curated record. NCBI's taxonomy places the organism in Eukaryota, Metazoa, Chordata, Actinopteri, Clupeiformes, Engraulidae. The transcript has 8 exons.